UACGGAGGGUGCGAGCGUUGUCCGGAAUCACUGGGCGUAAAGCGCACGUAGGCGGCUUUCUAAGUCAGGGGUGAAAUCCUGGAGCUCAACUCCAGAACUGCCUUUGAUACUGGAGAGCUCGAGUCCGGAAGAGGUGAGUGGAACUGCGAGUGUAGAGGUGAAAUUCGUAGAUAUUCGCAAGAACACCAGUGGCGAAGGCGGCUCACUGGUCCGGUACUGACGCUGAGGUGCGAAAGCGUGGGGAGCAAACAGG
Molecule: ribosomal RNA, 253 nt
Filed under: uncultured bacterium
Lineage: Bacteria
Description: partial 16S ribosomal RNA
Rfam family: Bacterial small subunit ribosomal RNA
Source: RNAcentral